AGGUGUAAGGUGAUAUCUCAUUGUAGUUUUGAUUUCUAUUUCCCUGAUGGUGAGUGACGUUGAACAUCUUUUCAUAUAUCUGUUGGUCAUCUGUAUGUCUUCUUUGAAGAAAUGUCUCUUCAUGUCUUCUGUCCAUGUUUUAACUGAAUACUUAUUUUUUGGUGUUGAGUUAUAUAUGUUCUUUAUAUAUUUUGGAUACUAAUCCUUUAUCAGAUACAUCAUUUGCAAAUAUCUUUUCCCAUUCUGUAGGUUGUCUUUUAGUUUUGUUUAUCUUUCCCUUCACUACACAGAAGCUUUUUAUUUUGGUAUAGUCCCAAUAGUUCAAUUUUGCUUUCAUUUCCCUUGCCUUAGUAGAUAAUAUCUAAAAUAUGUUAGUACAGAUGAUCUCAGAGAAAUUACUGCCUGUGUUCUUUUCUAGGAUUUUUAUGAUUUCCAGUCUCAUAUUUAGGUUCUUAAUUCAGUUUGAGUUUAUUUCUGUGUAUAGUAUAAAAAAGUGGUCCAGUUUUAUUCUUUGGCAUGUAGCUAUCCAGUUUUCCCAACACCCUUUGUUGACAAGACUGUCUUUUCCUACAUAUUCUUUCCUCUGCUGUCAACAACUGAUUGACCAUAGAAUUGUAGAUCAGGUUACAUAUUUUUGGAGGAAUACCACAGAAGUGAUGUUAUGCUCUUCUCAGUGCAUACCAUCAGGAUGCAUGAUGUCUAUUUGUUCCAUAAUGUUAACUUUGACAACUUAAGUUGGAACCUCAACUGUAAAGUUGUUCCUUCUUUUUCCUUUAGUGAUUAAUAAGCUAUUUUGUGGGAAGGUAUCUUGACACUAUAAAAAUAUCCUCAUUUGUCAACUCUUUAUGCUUUAGUUUUUAGAAUCCAUUGAUGAUUCCUGCCUGAAACAUUUCCUGGCUAUUUUCACAUAUUUGUAUUUUUAUAUGAAUUCUUUAUCAAGUUGUCUAGGUCUGUAAAAUAGCAUGUUGGCAUUUUUUUGAGAUUAUGUUAAAAUUACAAAUUAAGGAGAACUGCCUUUUCAUUUUUUCAAAUCUAAUUGUGUAUCUUUCUGAAGUGUUUUAGUUUUCUUCAAAUAGUUUUUGUAUACUUCUUGAUAUAUUUAUUCCCAAGUAUUUUAUCUUCUUUGUUGGUAUUUAAUUGGGGUUUCCCCUAUCAAUAUAUCCUCUAACUGGUAAAUGUUUGUCUAUGUAAAGGAUUUUAGGUUCUAUUGAAAUAUAUUGAGUGCUAUUUUUAUAGCUUGUUGGCUACUGAAUUAUUUUCUUGUUUGAGUUAGUUUUAUAAUAUAUAAUGAUUCUCUAGGUCAGGAGUCCACAAUCUUUUUUUAUAAAAUGUUAGAACAUUCUCAGCUUUGUUGGGCCAAACCACUUUUACCACAACUAUCCAAUUGUGAUAGUAGAAGGAAAAUGCACAAACAAAAUGAUUUGACCAGAUUUGGCUACUGGGCUAUUUUACUGAACCUUGCUCUAGGUUUUUUCCAGAUUUACUAUCUUAUCUACAAAAAAAAUGUUUUCUUAUUUUCUAAUUGUUAUACCUCUACUCUUUAACUUUUUUUAAUUGCAUUGCCUAAUAUCUCCAGUAAAAUGUUGAAUAGUAGUAGGGUUACUGGAUAGCCUUCCCUUGUCCUAAUGAUAGUAGUGAAAAUACCUUUAGUGUUUCCCAUUAAGAUGAUGUUAAGGAAAAUAUUCAUCAAUUCCUAUUUGUUGAGUGUUUUUACUAGGUAUUGAUUUUGGAAGGUCAUUUCACCAUCUAUACAUGAUUUGUCUCCUUAUAUCUAAUACAGUAAUAUUAUAUUAAUGGGUUUCCUAAUACUUAACCAAUUUCCUGUUCCUAGAAAAAAAUUCCACAUGGUCAUGGUGUAUUUUCUUAAUGUGGUAUUGGAAUUUGGUAAUAUUUUAUCUAGUACUUUGUAUCAGUAUUUAUAAUUGAUUUUAAGCUAUAAUUUCUUUUUGUGUUUUCUUUAAGAAUUGUUAUGGGGAUCCCUGAGUGGCCCAGCAGUUUAGCACCUGCCUUUGGCCCAGGGCAUGAUCCUGGAGUCCUGGGAUCGAGUUCCACGUUGGGCUCCCUGCAUGGAGCCUGCUUCUCCCUGUGCCUGUGUCUCUGCCUCUCUCUAUCAUGAAUAAAUAAAUAAAAUCUUUUUAAAAAAUUGUUAUUAUUCACAUUCAAUAAUCUGGAGCAAUUUAUAGAGCAAACUACCUGGUGUUGGGACACCUGAGUGGCUCAGGGCGUGAUCCUGGAGUCCCGGGAUUGAGUCCACAUCGGGCUCCCUGCAUGAAGCCUGCUUCUCCCCUCUGCCUAUGUCUUUGCCUCUCUCUGUGUGUCUCUCAUGAAUAAAUAAAUAAAUAAAAUAUUUUAAAAAAAGAAACUAUCUGGUGUUUAGAUGUUUCAUAAAAUAUCCUUGUGGUACCAAAUGGGCCUGAUGCUUUUUUUUAGAAAAUAGGUCUUUGUUAUUCUUUAUGUCUUUGAAAGAAAUUAGACUAUCUCAGGGUGCCUGGGUGACUUUGGUUAAGCAUCCAACUUGUGAUUUUUGGCUAAGGUCAUGAUUUCAGGGUUGUGAGAUCAAGCCUUUUGUUUGGAUCUGUGCUGGGCAUGGAGCCCGCCUAAGAUUCUCUCCCUCUGUCACUCCUUUGUCUCCCUGUCUCCCUCAUACUCUCACCCUCUCCCUCUCUUAAAAAAAAAAAAAAAAAAAAAGACUAUUUCAAAUAAACAGUAUUUACCUUAGAAAUUAUCUUUUUCAUUCAGGUUUUCAACUGUAUUUAAAGAGAGGUUUGAAAGGAGAUUCUUACAAUAUUUUAAUUCAAGCUGUAAUUCCCGUAUCAUAAAAAUUCAGCUUUCUACACUGUUAUGGGCUGAACUGUGUUCUUCACUCCCCCCAAAUUCAUAUGCUGAAUUUGUCUCAUAUCUCAAAUGUAUUUGGAGAGAGGGCCUUUUUAAAAAAGUAAUAAGGUAAAAUGACAUAUGGAUGAGUUCUAAUUCAGUAUUACUAGUCCUUAUCCAAAGAUGUGAUUAGAAUACAGACAACACACAAAUGAAAACAUGACCAUGUAAUGACACGGUGAGAACACAGCCAUCUAUAAGCCAAGGACAAGCCUUAAAAUAAAAUCAAUCCUGCUGACACCUUCAUCUCAAAAUUCUAGCCUCCAGAAGUGUGAGAAAAAAAUUUUGUUGUUUUAAGUCAUUCCUAGUCACUUUGCUAGGAAUGGCAC
RNAcentral lists this long non-coding RNA (3203 nucleotides) under Canis lupus familiaris (dog). Its description in RNAcentral is "lncRNA (ENSCAFG00000058513.1)". Lineage: Eukaryota; Metazoa; Chordata; Mammalia; Carnivora; Canidae. The record is from RNAcentral.